UAGGGAAUCUUGCACAAUGGGCGAAAGCCUGAUGCAGCAACGCCGCGUGAGGGACGAAGGCUUUCUGAGUUGUAAACCUCUUUCAGCAGGGACGAUUAUGACGGUACCUGCAGAAGAAGCCCCGGCCAACUACGUGCCAGCAGCCGCGGUAAUACGUAGGGGGCAAGCGUUGUCCGGAUUUAUUGGGCGUAAAGAGCUCGUAGGCGGCUUGGCAAGUCGGGUGUGAAACCUCCAGGCUCAACCUGGAGCCGCCAUUCGAUACUGCCAUGGCUAGAGUUUGGUAGGGGACCACGGAACUCCUGGUGUAGCGGUGAAAUGCGCAGAUAUCAGGAAGAACACCAGCGGCGAAGGCGGUGGUCUGGGCCAAUACUGACGCUGAGGAGCGAAAGCGUGGGGAGCGAACAGG
This 406-nucleotide ribosomal RNA is filed under the name uncultured Chloroflexota bacterium. Its description in RNAcentral is "bacterial SSU rRNA". It matches the Rfam family "Bacterial small subunit ribosomal RNA", at positions 355 to 776 of the family's 1533-position model. Lineage: Bacteria; Bacillati; Chloroflexota. The record is from RNAcentral.